RNAcentral lists this ribosomal RNA (584 nucleotides) under uncultured organism. Its description in RNAcentral is "bacterial SSU rRNA". It matches the Rfam family "Bacterial small subunit ribosomal RNA", at positions 55 to 610 of the family's 1533-position model. The record is from RNAcentral.
AUGCAAGUCGAACGAGAAACUUUAGCUCGCCAGAGAAAGUAAAGUGGCGCACGGGUGAGUAACGCGUGGGUAAUCUGCCUCCGAAUCGGGGAUAACAUUGCGAAAGCGAUGCUAAUACCGGAUAAAAUCUGGUUGGCUUCGGUGAACCGGAUCAAAGGUGGUCUCUUUAUAAAAGCUACCGUUUGGGGAUGAGCUCGCGUUACCAUUAGCUAGUUGGUGAGGUAAAAGGCUCACCAAGGCGACGAUGGUUAGCUGGUCUGAGAGGAUGAUCAGCCACACCGGAACUGGAACACGGUCCGGACUCCUACGGGAGGCAGCAGUGAGGAAUUUUGCGCAAUGGGGGAAACCCUGACGCAGCAACGCCGCGUGAGUGAUGAAGGCUUUCGGGUCGUAAAGCUCUGUCAGGUGGGAAGAACCCACCAAGUGUUAAGACCACUUGGUGCUGACGGUACCACCGAAGGAAGCACCGGCUAACUCCGUGCCAGCAGCCGCGGUAAUACGGGGGGUGCGAGCGUUAUUCGGAAUCAUUGGGCGUAAAGGGCGCGCAGGCGGUCCUGUAAGUCAGAUGUGAAAUCCCGGGGCUU